GUUUGGAGAACUGAUGAAAGACUGGAUAGAAGAUUGGUCAGAUGAUGAAAAUUCAGAUCGUGGAGAUAGGUCAGAGAAUGGGAACGUAUUGGAAGAUCUUAAUGAAAACAAUGAGCAUGAUGAUGGUGAGGAAAACAACUCGGAGAUCUCAAAUGAAGAUUACAUUAGUCAGGUAUGGAAGUGGAAUUUUUUGUUGGCAUGCAUGCAAAUUGAAUUAAUCCUGGAAUAUUAUAUGAUAAGUACUUAUGUAUUUGUGUUAUAUUUUUCAGCUCAUUUCCGAAUGUCAUAAUGCGUACGACUAUUACGGUGAAUCCGACGCGAAGACAGGCCUUGAUGUCGAAUCAUUAGCUGCAUCUGAUUCUGGGGAGUCGCAAUCGUCGGUCAUCAUGAGUGAGGUAUGUAUGUAAUCAAUGUUGUAUGGAAGUAAUGUUAUACCAUAGAAAACUGUUUUCAUGGCUAUGUUAUGAUUGUGUAGGUGACAGAAGUUGAGGG
This is a non-coding RNA of Aegilops tauschii subsp. strangulata, 492 nucleotides long. NCBI's taxonomy places the organism in Eukaryota, Viridiplantae, Streptophyta, Magnoliopsida, Poales, Poaceae. The record is from RefSeq and is a predicted model, not a curated record.